This 228-nucleotide ribosomal RNA is filed under the name uncultured bacterium. RNAcentral describes it as "partial 16S ribosomal RNA". It matches the Rfam family "Bacterial small subunit ribosomal RNA", at positions 29 to 242 of the family's 1533-position model. The record is from RNAcentral.
AACGAACGCUGGCGGCGUGGAUAAGACAUGCAAGUCGAACGGGAUUAUUUUUGUAGCAAUGCAGAAAUAAUUCAGUGGCGAACGGGUGCGUAACACGUGGGCAAUCUGCCGAAAAGUGGGGGAUAGCUCGCCGAAAGGCGAAUUAAUGCCGCAUGUGGUGAGGGACGACAUCUUCCUGAAUCCAAAGCCGGGGCAACCUGGCGCUUUUUGAGGAGCCCGCGGCCUANC